Molecule: long non-coding RNA, 833 nt
Filed under: Olea europaea subsp. europaea
Lineage: Eukaryota; Viridiplantae; Streptophyta; Magnoliopsida; Lamiales; Oleaceae
Source: RNAcentral
GUCACAGAAUAUUUUUGGUCACGAAUUCAAAAUUUUUUAGGCCACCAAUUAUUCAUCGGUCACAUAUUUAAAACUUUUAUUGGUCAUAACUCAUUUUCCCAUUGCCACUUAUUGAAUUAAUUUGUCACGAUUAAUUUUUCGAUCACAACCUAAUUAUUUGUCAGUCACAAUGGAAAGUUACAAAUACAAUUUUUAGGUCACAUAUUCAAUUGAGAGUCACAGUCACAAUUUUCAGCACCGCCAAUAGCGUUGCCAACGUAGCCAGCACCACUCCCUCUACCCUCAUCGCGGCCAGCACCACCCCACACUGCAUCAACCCAUUUCCUCAAAUCGCCAACACAAACGCCCACAAACGGUGCAGCCACCACAACGGGCACCACCCCCAAACCAUUCCACAACCAAACCACAGAUCAAAUCAUUCCACACCACCGCACCAAAACAUUCCACAAUCAAGCACCUCCAUUGCGUACACACACACAGUCGAUCUACACAGGGUGUUGCUUUUGGCCGCAGCAGUGUUGCACCCACACACAUACACACCGCCGUUAUUAACCACCAAUGCACGUACACACUGCCGCCGCGCGCACGCCACCACCCACAUAACAAAUCCACAACAGAUCUCUCUCACCUCUCUCGUCGCUGAUCUACACCGCAUCAACAGACUCCAAUUCUAGCCACGAUGGCUGGAGCAAGUUCUUCAUUGCCGGAGCAACUUCAUCGUCGCCGCCGCCCUAAAAUUAUAGUGAGAAACGAGAGAAAAGAGGAUGGUGACUGGUGUCAAAGAGAGAGAAAGAAGAGAGGAACGGGGCUUAGAGAGAGAAUGGGUUUUUCUA